GAUGAACGCUGGCGGCGUGCCUAAUACAUGCAAGUCGAGCGAACAGAUGAGUAGCUUUCUCCUCUGACGUUAGCGGCGGACGGGUGAGUAACACGUGGCUAACCUACCUAUAAUACUGGGAUAACUUCGGGAAACCGGAGCUAAUACCGGAUAAUAUAUUGAACCGCAUGGUUCAAUAGUGAAAGACGGUUUUGCUGUCACUUAUAGAUGGAUCCGCGCCGCAUUAGCUAGUUGGUAAGGUAACGGCUUACCAAGGCAACGAUGCGUAGCCGACCUGAGAGACUGAUCGGCCACACUGGAACUGGAACACAGUCCAGACUCCUACGGGAGGAAGCAGUAGGGAAUCUUCCGCAAUGGGCGAAAGCCUGACGGAGCAAUGACGCGUGAGUGAUGAAGGUCUUCGGAUCGUAAAACUCUGUUAUUAGGGAAGAACAGUUGUGUAAGUAACUAUGCACGGAUUGACAGUAACUAAUCAGAAAGCAACGGCUAACUCCGUG
RNAcentral lists this ribosomal RNA (497 nucleotides) under uncultured bacterium. Its description in RNAcentral is "partial 16S ribosomal RNA". It matches the Rfam family "Bacterial small subunit ribosomal RNA", at positions 28 to 507 of the family's 1533-position model. The record is from RNAcentral.